This 253-nucleotide ribosomal RNA is filed under the name uncultured bacterium. RNAcentral's name for it is "partial 16S ribosomal RNA". It matches the Rfam family "Bacterial small subunit ribosomal RNA", at positions 524 to 776 of the family's 1533-position model. The record is from RNAcentral.
UACAGAGGUCUCAAGCGUUGUUCGGAUUCAUUGGGCGUAAAGGGUGCGUAGGUGGCGCUGUAAGUCGGGUGUGAAAUUUCGGAGCUUAACUCCGAAACUGCAUUCGAUACUGCCGUGCUUGAGGACUGGAGAGGAGACUGGAAUUUACGGUGUAGCGGUGAAAUGCGUAGAUAUCGUAAGGAAGACCAGUGGCGAAGGCGGGUCUCUGGGCCGAUACUGACGCUGAGGAGCGAAAGCGUGGGGAGCGAACAGG